UCUCAGCAUCUAAACCCAGGCUGCUAUGCUACUAUAGGAAGUCCCACAACUGGUCAGACUGUUGUCUCCAUAAAAGGAUGGCCAUCAUCUUCAGCUGCGCUCUUGAAAUGGAACUGCCUGGCAAGCUUCUAUGUUUCCCUGACACUGAACUCAUCAUUAUUGUCAGCAUCAGUCAUCAUGGUGAGUCACCAUUAUUACCAUCAGAGCCAAGCAAAAAUAUUCGGGACUCAUGGGAUCACUGAGAAGAUUGAGGUCACCCGGGGCCACUGGACCACAGUCAGCAACAUGUGGUGUGGACCUGACCUGGGAUUCCCUUGUAGCUGGAGCAGAGGACAAACGACCCCAAGAAGUGUCCUUUCUGUGAUCUGCAAAGCAAUCCAUUGCCAGUGCAAGUGUCUUCUGUUCUUCUUAGUGUACCCACUGAGAUUUGGGGUUCGGGCAACUGGAGCAAAUACUGAUACUGUGGCUGCUGCUGUUGCCCCAUGCCCGAGUGUUGUCCUCAAGUGGAUUCGACCCAAACUUCUGUGAGAUAAAGGCUUGAUCAUAACCAGGAGACAUCAGGUCAUCUCAGGGGACAAGCCACAGACUUCGACAGUUUCUUCAGUGACCCACGCACGGGUAGGACAUUCCACAACAGUUCUUGGAUCCUAGCACGAG
This 657-nucleotide long non-coding RNA is filed under the name Equus caballus (horse). RNAcentral's name for it is "lncRNA (ENSECAG00000052718.1)". Lineage: Eukaryota; Metazoa; Chordata; Mammalia; Perissodactyla; Equidae. The record is from RNAcentral.